CGGUGGUGUGGGGUUUAAGAAAAUAUAAUGAAUUAAUUAUCGAGACGACUAACCUCCCUGCUCGACGUGCAUAAAGCUCGUGUCCCUUCCAAGAGCUUUUUCUUUCUUACGCCAUUUGGCUCGACGAUUUUGGAACCAUACCUACGAAAAAAAGAAACGGAUAUUAUGGUAAUAGAUAAUUUAUUUAAUAAAUUAGUUAACUUUAGAACUAACGAAAGAACAAAUGAAUUUAAUUCGUUUUAUAUUAUACUAAAUAUGAUAUUAGUAUCAUUUAAAACUCGUUUAUUUUAUUAUCUCCUUCCCCUUGUUCUUUUUUUCUUUCUUUUUUUUUUAGCAGAGUUUUUCGUUAAUUCAUUAGCAAGAAUUUUAAAAGGAAUUCGUAGAAAGGCAUUUAAAGGUAUUCUCUCGUAAUUCUCUCAUUAAGAAUAAAAAAAAUAAUAAAAUAAAUAAAGAAAGAAAGAGAGAGAAAGAGAGAUAGAUAGAGCGAUGAAAAAAAAAAGGAAAAAAGAAAUGUCGAUCUUAAGCUCAACUUUAUCCUUUUCUCAUUAAAUCAGGAGGAGAAUUUUUUUUCUAAAUUUAAUACUCUCUCGACAAGUAUAUUUAAUUCUCCUCUCCAUCUCUCUUUCUCUUAGGAAUGAAAAAAAGAAAAGAAUAAAAGAACUGGAAAUAGAAAUUGGAGGUAUUAGUAGUCAAUAGGAGAUACUAGAAUUUGUUCGUACUCGUUAUGUAAUUUUCAACGAUUAAAUCGCAUCCCGAAGCGAGAGAAAGAGUAGAUCUUUCUUUAAUAAGUAGUAAUCUUUUUCUACUUUUUCUCUCUAUUUUUUCAAAAGAAAAAAAUAAAGAAAGAAAAAAAAAAAGAAAUAAAGAAAGAAAGAUAAAACUAAACUGGCAAGAACGUAUGAGAACCUUCGGCCGCGCGUAUCAGAGCACCCAACAAAAGCUCGGCUCUCGAGGUUGAUUAAGCUAAUUGUUAACAAUUAUCCUGAUUUCCUCCGGACCCCCGAGUGGUAGCAGCAACCCCUGCCCUCUCUCUCUCGUUCUCUCUUUCUCUUUCUCUUUGUCCCUCCCGUUGCACCCGUUGCCGUAUAAAUGCUUUCACUUUCCGCUCGAGUUGUUCGGUAGGAUUUUUCGUGGGCAUCGUCAGAGACCCCGGCAGCAAUAGCAGCCAUACUAGCUAAAGCACCAGUACACCAGUACCAGUACCACCAAUGGCACCAACAGAACCACCAACGACAGCAUCGUCGUUCAACCAUCUCUUUCUCUCUUUCUCUUUUUAUACAUGUAUAAGUGUAUAUGUAUGUAUAUCUGGGUGUAUACGUUUUACAUGCUGCAUCCAUUGUGUGCCACGGAAAUUCAAAAUGCUGCCUUUCAGACCGACACUGUUCUACCAACCAGGAUCAAUGGAAAAUAGUUGAAAGCAAAAGUUUGUCAUCGAAGAAAAGAGAAAGUGCUUACCAGGGAGGAAAGGUAGACAAGAGGUAGAGGGUAAGGUCGACAUCAAGAAUCAAGAGAGAAAGAGAGAGAGAGAAAAGGGGGGAUAAGUCGGGAGAGGUCGGGACAGGAAAUUCAAUUGCCUAAUUGCUGUUAAUUAUUUAAUCGCUCCUGAAUACCCUCUAACGCCUAAGUGCUCGCAAACCUUGCAGCGCGUCGUUUAACCGACCCACCGUCAACUCGAAAGUUUAAAUCGCCGGCUCGUCUCGAAAACUUUCACUCUGACGACUACGACAACGACGACGAAAACGACGACGAAAACGACGACGAAAACGACGACGAAAACGACGACGUUACCCUUGUAGCCGGCGGCGGCAACGUGCUACUACUGCUGCUGCUGCUGUUGCUUAAACCAUUACGAAUAAAGUACACAAGAAUAUUUUCAAAUAGAAUCAAAUUCGAAUCUUUUCGACGCUGGCUCGAAAAGCGGGGAAAUUUUUUUAAUGAAAACAACUUCAAAAGUAAUAAAACAAA
Molecule: long non-coding RNA, 1965 nt
Filed under: Polistes fuscatus (common paper wasp)
Lineage: Eukaryota; Metazoa; Arthropoda; Insecta; Hymenoptera; Vespidae
Description: uncharacterized LOC122521844, transcript variant X1
Source: RNAcentral